AGAGUUAAAUAGUACGUGAAAUUGUUGAAAGGGAAACGCUUGAAGUCAGUCGUGCUGGCGCGAAAUCAGCUCGACCACUCGGGGAUCACGGGCCGUAGCGAGCUUCAAAACCGUUACGACUCGUGAUUGCUUGGUGGCCUGGUGCACUUUCGUGUCGGCUGGUUAACAUCAAUUUCGAUCGUCAUAAAAAGGCUGGAGGGAUGUGGCUCCUUCGGGAGUGUUAUAACCUUUGGCGGAAUGUGGUGGUCGGGAUUGAGGUUUGCAACGAAUACCUUCAGGGCUGUUCCACCUGGCCUCUCAUCGGCAUCCUGGCGACGACAGCUUGCUGACGUUGUUAUGAUCAGCCUUCGAACAGGCUAGAGUGUGAGCAAAUUCGUUAAGGAUGUUAACGUAAUGGCUUUAAACGACC
This 409-nucleotide small RNA is filed under the name uncultured Glomeromycotina. RNAcentral's name for it is "eukaryotic LSU rRNA". Lineage: Eukaryota; Fungi; Glomeromycota. The record is from RNAcentral.